RNAcentral lists this ribosomal RNA (492 nucleotides) under uncultured bacterium. RNAcentral describes it as "partial 16S ribosomal RNA". It matches the Rfam family "Bacterial small subunit ribosomal RNA", at positions 29 to 507 of the family's 1533-position model. The record is from RNAcentral.
AGUGAACGCUGGCGGUAGGCCUAACACAUGCAAGUUGAACGGCAGCACAGUAAGAGCUUGCUCUUACGGGUGGCGAGUGGCGGACGGGUGAGGAAUACAUCGGAAUCUACUUUUUCGUGGGGGAUAACGUAGGGAAACUUACGCUAAUACCGCAUACGACCUACGGGUGAAAGCAAGGGAUCUUCGGACCUUGCGCGAUUGAAUGAGCCGAUGUCGGAUUAGCUAGUUGGCGGGGUAAAGGCCCACCAAGGCGACGAUCCGUAGCUGGUCUGAGAGGAUGAUCAGCCACACUGGAACUGAGACACGGUCCAGACUCCUACGGGAGGCAGCAGUGGGGAAUAUUGGACAAUGGGCGCAAGCCUGAUCCAGCCAUACCGCGUGGGUGAAGAAGGCCUUCGGGUUGUAAAGCCCUUUUGUUGGGAAAGAAAAGCAGCAGGUUAAUACCCCGCUGUUCUGACGGUACCCAAAGAAUAAGCACCGGCUAACUUCGUG